RNAcentral lists this ribosomal RNA (492 nucleotides) under uncultured bacterium. Its description in RNAcentral is "partial 16S ribosomal RNA". It matches the Rfam family "Bacterial small subunit ribosomal RNA", at positions 28 to 507 of the family's 1533-position model. The record is from RNAcentral.
GAUGAACGCUAGCUACAGGCUUAACACAUGCAAGUCGAGGGGAAACGACAUCGAAAGCUUGCUUUUGAUGGGCGUCGACCGGCGCACGGGUGAGUAACGCGUAUCCAACCUGCCCAUCACUUGGGGAUAACCUUGCGAAAGUAAGACUAAUACCCAAUGAUAUCUCUAGAAGACAUCUGAAAGAGAUUAAAGAUUUAUCGGUGAUGGAUGGGGAUGCGUCUGAUUAGCUUGUUGGCGGGGUAACGGCCCACCAAGGCAACGAUCAGUAGGGGUUCUGAGAGGGAGGGCCCCCACAAUUGAACCGGGGACACGGCCAAAACCCCACGGGAGGGAGGCAUGAGGAAUAAUGGGCAAAGGGGGAGAGCCCUAACCAGGCAAGUAGCGGGCAGGAAGACGGGCCUAUGGGGUUUUAACUGCUUUUAUAAGGGGAUAAAGUGGGAGGUCGGACUCUUUUUGUAUGUACCUUAUGAAUAAGGACCGGCUAAUUCCGUG